CCCGCUGAACUUAAGCAUAUCAAUAAGCGGAGGAAAAGAAACCAACCGGGAUUGCCUCAGUAACGGCGAGUGAAGCGGCAAGAGCUCAAAUUUGAAAUCUGGUGCCUUCGGUACCCGAGUUGUAAUUUGAAGAGGAUGCCUCGGUUGCAGCCACGGCCCAAGUUCCUUGGAACAGGACGUCGCAGAGGGUGAGAAUCCCGUUCAGCGGCUGCCGGCUUGCUUCCAUGUGUGGCUCCUUCGAAGAGUCGAGUUGUUUGGGAAUGCAGCUCAAAAUGGGUGGUAAAUUCCAUCUAAAGCUAAAUACUGGCGAGAGACCGAUAGCGCACAAGUAGAGUGAUCGAAAGAUGAAAAGCACUUUGAAAAGAGAGUUAAACAGUACGUGAAAUUGUUGAAAGGGAAGCGCUUGCAAUCAGACUCACCUGCGGUUGAUCAACGUUCCUUCUGGUUCGUGCACUCUGCCGUUUGUGGGCCAGCAUCGGUCGGUGCGGCGGGACAAAGGCGUUGGGAAUGUGGCUCUCUUCGGGGAGUGUUAUAGCCCAUCGUGUAAUGCCGCCAGCUGCCGGCCGAGGUCCGCGAUUUGUCUAGGAUGCUGGCUUAAUGGUUGUAAGCGACCCGUCUUGAAACACGG
Molecule: ribosomal RNA, 628 nt
Filed under: uncultured fungus
Lineage: Eukaryota; Fungi
Description: eukaryotic LSU rRNA
Rfam family: Eukaryotic large subunit ribosomal RNA
Source: RNAcentral